UACGGGUUGUGAGAGCAAGAGCCCGGAGAUGGAACCUGAGACAAGGUUCCAGGCCCUACGGGGUGCAGCAGGCGCGAAACCUCCGCAAUGUGAGAAAUCGCGACGGGGGGAUCCCAAGUGCCAUUCUUAACGGGAUGGCUUUUCAUUAGUGUAAAGAGCUUUUGGAAUAAGGGCUGGGCAAGACCGGUGCCAGCCGCCGCGGUAACACCGGCAGCUCUAGUGGUAGCAGUUUUUAUUGGGCCUAAAGCGUCCGUAGCCGGUUUAAUAAGUCUCUGGUGAAAUCCUGUAGCUUAACUGUGGGAAUUGCUGGAGAUACUAUUAGACUUGAGACCGGGAGAGGUUAGAGGUACUCCCAGGGUAGAGGUGAAAUUCUGUAAUCCUGGGAGGACCGCCUGUUGCGAAGGCGUCUAACUGGAACGGUUCUGACGGUGAGGGACGAAAGUUAGGGGCGCGAACCGGAUUAGAUACCCGGGUAGUCAUAACCGUAAACGAUGCGGACUUGGUGUUGGGGUGGCUUUGAGCUGCUCCAGUGCCGAAGGGAAGCUGUUAAGUCCGCCGCCUGGGAAGUACGGUCGCAAGACUGAAACUUAAAGGAAUUGGCGGGGGAGCA
This 610-nucleotide ribosomal RNA is filed under the name Methanobrevibacter sp. R1. RNAcentral describes it as "SSU rRNA". It matches the Rfam family "Archaeal small subunit ribosomal RNA", at positions 268 to 878 of the family's 1478-position model. Lineage: Archaea; Methanobacteriati; Methanobacteriota; Methanobacteria; Methanobacteriales; Methanobacteriaceae. The record is from RNAcentral.